GGAGAGAAAGCUUGGGCCUUAAGCCCAAGCUUCCAUAAACAUGGUCCGGAUCCUACACAAACUAACCAAUAUUUGCCCCACCAAAAACUCAACGCAGCAACAGCAAUUCACCGUCACCAUCAACGCAAACUCACCAAGAAAAAUAUUCAAAAAUUCAAUUCAAAAUUCUCGCUUCCUCAUUCGCAUAACCCCCCUUUCAAAUCUCAGGUGAACAAUGAAAGCAAGAACGAUACGCCAUGAAUUCAUCGCUAAAAUCAAAACCAACGAAGGUCUCUUCUUGCGCACGGAUGAAAGAAGACGAAAGGAGAAACUUACCGGAUGAUUCCAACACGGUGGCUCUGGGUAAUCUUCUUCUUCGCGCCUUCGAUUUUCUUCUAUCACUUCUGUUGCAUUGUUGUUUGUUCUUCAGUUUCGUCACAUGUGCAUAAUCGUGCGUGUUGAAUGAUGACGAGUGUGAAAUUGUUGUGCAACUUUAAUGAUAAUUGAGGCAUGAUGGAUUAUUGUUAAGGGUGAAGAUUGUUGAAUCUAUGUUUGUGUUCUUUAUUGUUGAGACUUGUUUGUGGAAUUUUUCUCCUUAAGAACUUUUUCUGUGUUUCUCUUAUGUGCUUCUGUUGAGAAUUCUUCUUCGUCUAAUUCUCUCUCUGUUUCCCUGUGAAUUUUCUGUUGUGGAUCCUUUUAUGAAGCUUUCUUCACCGCCUGUUAUGAACUUCCUGUGAGUUUUCUUUUGAGAAUUUCAUGUGAAGUUCUCUUAUGAUUCCAUAUGAAGAUGGUAUUGACAGUUGAUUCUCAAUGGUUGAUGUUUUUUUAUUUUGGUUCAGAGGUCGAGAGGGUGUGAGGGGGUGUGAGGCUGAGUUUGGUUAUGUGGAUGGAAGAGAGUUUGUUGAGAAGGUGUGAGGAGGUUAGAGAGUUGUUUAGAAGGUUGUUAUGAGUUGGUUAAGAAGUUAGUUGGAAAAAUUAUGAGGUGAUGAAAUUUUGUUGAGAAUUGUUGGUUACGUUGAGAAUUGUUGGAAGGUUAAGUUGGAAUUUUCAGUCCCCUAAUUUUGUUUCUGUUAGAAGUUUUUGAAGGGUUUAGGUUGGUUAGAGAAGUUGAAAGUUUGGUUGAGGAGGGAAUAUAUGGUUAAAAAACAGUUGGAGGUUUUUUAAGGUUAUGAGUUUUCUUGGUUGAUGAAAAAUGGUCUGAAAUUCGAUUAUAAGAUUUUAGUUCGGAGGUUAUUGAAAAUUGGUUGAAGGUUUUUGUGGAAGAUGGUUGAGUUUUAGAGCGUGUGAGGUUCGAAUUGGUUGUUAGAGGAGUUAGUUGUAGUGAAAAAAAAUCCCUCUUUAAUUUUGUUAUGAAAGUUAUCUACUAUUGAAGGGUUUUGGAAGUUAGAAGUGGUUUUAGAAGAGAAAACAGUUGGAGGUUUCUUGUGAAAAUCUCAUUUGGGAAGAGGGAAAUGGUGGUUUAUUGAAGUUUUGUUAUAAGAUUUGAGAAUUGGUUAUUAAAGUGGAAAAUAAUGGUUAGAAUAUUCUGUUGGAGUGAGGAAAAAGUUUAAAAUGAAAAACGGUUUUGUUUUAUGCAUGUUGAUGUUUGCUAAUGAGUCUUUGAUUACCAUGGUACAAGGCUUGGAUUGGAUGCUUGCUAUGUCUACAUUGAAAUAUUGUAAUGGUGUGAUGGAUCAUGUUGAAGCUUUUAGUGUCAUGUUUUAGAGCUUGAACUGUUAUGGACCAUUGCAUUGGUUUGCUUGGAAUUUUGUUGUAACUUGGUUGUAAAUUGAAAUGGUAUUGAAAUGUGGAUGUGGAAAUUGAAUGUAAUGAUGUAAUUUUGUUGUAAUCAUGAAAUGAAAUAUGUGAAUAUUGACGUAUGUAUGAAAAUGUUGUGAAAUGUAAUAAGAAUGGUAUUUUGUACAUGUAUGGAAUUAUG
This 1897-nucleotide long non-coding RNA is filed under the name Lathyrus oleraceus (garden pea). Its description in RNAcentral is "Pisum sativum (pea) long non-coding RNA (PSAT_LNC026184)". The record is from RNAcentral. Lineage: Eukaryota; Viridiplantae; Streptophyta; Magnoliopsida; Fabales; Fabaceae.